This 391-nucleotide ribosomal RNA is filed under the name uncultured bacterium. RNAcentral's name for it is "bacterial SSU rRNA". It matches the Rfam family "Bacterial small subunit ribosomal RNA", at positions 29 to 420 of the family's 1533-position model. The record is from RNAcentral.
AUUGAACGCUGGCGGAAUGCUUUACACAUGCAAGUCGAGCGGCAGCGCGGGGGCAACCCUGGCGGCGAGCGGCGAACGGGUGAGUAAUACAUCGGAACGUGUCCUUAAGUGGGGGAUAGCUCGGCGAAAGCCGGAUUAAUACCGCAUAAGCUCUGAGGAGGAAAGCGGGGGCUCCGUAAGGACCUCGCGCUGUUGGAGCGGCCGAUGUCGGAUUAGCUAGUUGGUGGGGUAAAGGCCCACCAAGGCGACGAUCCGUAGCUGGUCUGAGAGGAUGAUCAGCCACACUGGAACUGAGACACGGUCCAGACUCCUACGGGAGGCAGCAGUGGGGAAUUUUGGACAAUGGGGCAACCCUGAUCCAGCCAUUCCGCGUGAGUGAAGAAGGCCUCGG